This 253-nucleotide ribosomal RNA is filed under the name uncultured bacterium. RNAcentral's name for it is "partial 16S ribosomal RNA". It matches the Rfam family "Bacterial small subunit ribosomal RNA", at positions 524 to 776 of the family's 1533-position model. The record is from RNAcentral.
UACGGAGGGGGCGAGCGUUAUUCGGAAUCAUUGGGCGUAAAGGGCGCGUAGGCGGCCCGGUAAGUCAAAGGUGAAAUCCCUCGGCUCAACUGAGGAACUGCCUUUGAAACUGUCGGGCUUGAGGCCGGGAGGGGGUAGCGGAAUUCCCAGUGUAGCGGUGAAAUGCGUAGAUAUUGGGAGGAACACCAGUGGCGAAGGCGGCUACCUGGACCGGAACUGACGCUGAUGCGCGAAAGCGUGGGGAGCAAACAGG